UACGGAGGGGGCUAGCGUUGUUCGGAAUUACUGGGCGUAAAGCGCACGUAGGCGGAUAUUUAAGUCAGGGGUGAAAUCCCAGAGCUCAACUCUGGAACUGCCUUUGAUACUGGGUAUCUUGAGUAUGGAAGAGGUAAGUGGAAUUGCGAGUGUAGAGGUGAAAUUCGUAGAUAUUCGCAGGAACACCAGUGGCGAAGGCGGCUUACUGGUCCAUAACUGACGCUGAGGUGCGAAAGCGUGGGGAGCAAACAGG
RNAcentral lists this ribosomal RNA (253 nucleotides) under uncultured bacterium. RNAcentral describes it as "partial 16S ribosomal RNA". It matches the Rfam family "Bacterial small subunit ribosomal RNA", at positions 524 to 776 of the family's 1533-position model. The record is from RNAcentral.